This 93-nucleotide non-coding RNA is filed under the name uncultured Cetobacterium sp. RNAcentral's name for it is "Purine riboswitch". It matches the Rfam family "Purine riboswitch aptamer". Rfam says of the family: Riboswitches are metabolite binding domains within certain messenger RNAs that serve as precision sensors for their corresponding targets. Allosteric rearrangement of mRNA structure is mediated by ligand binding, and this results in modulation of gene expression. The record is from RNAcentral. Lineage: Bacteria; Fusobacteriati; Fusobacteriota; Fusobacteriia; Fusobacteriales; Fusobacteriaceae.
AAAAAAUAAAAUAAAUAACUUGUAUAAUAGUUGUGAUAAGGUCAACGAGUUUCUACCUGCCGCCGUAAAUGGGCAGACUACAAGUCAAAUUUG